RNAcentral lists this ribosomal RNA (1157 nucleotides) under uncultured bacterium. RNAcentral describes it as "bacterial SSU rRNA". It matches the Rfam family "Bacterial small subunit ribosomal RNA", at positions 116 to 1274 of the family's 1533-position model. The record is from RNAcentral.
CGUGAGUAACCUGCCCUUGACUCUGGGAUAAGCGCUGGAAACGGCGUCUAAUACCGGAUACGAACUUCGACCGCAUGGUCAGGAGUUGGAAAGAAUUUCGGUCAAGGAUGGACUCGCGGCCUAUCAGCUUGUUGGUGAGGUAAUGGCUCACCAAGGCGACGACGGGUAGCCGGCCUGAGAGGGUGACCGGCCACACUGGGACUGAGACACGGCCCAGACUCCUACGGGAGGCAGCAGUGGGGAAUAUUGCACAAUGGGCGCAAGCCUGAUGCAGCAACGCCGCGUGAGGGAUGACGGCCUUCGGGUUGUAAACCUCUUUUAGUAGGGAAGAAGCGGCUGUUUUCUCAGUCGUGACGGUACCUGCAGAAAAAGCACCGGCUAACUACGUGCCAGCAGCCGCGGUAAUACGUAGGGUGCAAGCGUUGUCCGGAAUUAUUGGGCGUAAAGAGCUCGUAGGCGGUCUGUCGCGUCUGCUGUGAAAACCCGAGGCUCAACCUCGGGCCUGCAGUGGGUACGGGCAGACUAGAGUGCGGUAGGGGGAGAUUGGAAUUCCUGGUGUAGCGGUGGAAUGCGCAGAUAUCAGGAGGAACACCGAUGGCGAAGGCAGAUCUCUGGGCCGUAACUGACGCUGAGGAGCGAAAGCAUGGGGAGCGAACAGGAUUAGAUACCCUGGUUAGUCCAUGCCGUAAACGUUGGGAACUAGAUGUAGGGACCAUUCCACGGUUUCUGUGUCGCAGCUAACGCAUUAAGUUCCCCGCCUGGGGAGUACGGCCGCAAGGCUAAAACUCAAAGGAAUUGACGGGGGCCCGCACAAGCGGCGGAGCAUGCGGAUUAAUUCGAUGCAACGCGAAGAACCUUACCAAGGCUUGACAUAUACCGGAAACGGCCAGAAAUGGUCGCCCCGCAAGGUCGGUAUACAGGUGGUGCAUGGUUGUCGUCAGCUCGUGUCGUGAGAUGUUGGGUUAAGUCCCGCAACGAGCGCAACCCUCGUCCUAUGUUGCCAGCACGUGAUGGUGGGAACUCAUAGGAGACUGCCGGGGUCAACUCGGAGGAAGGUGGGGAUGACGUCAAAUCAUCAUGCCCCUUAUGUCUUGGGCUUCACGCAUGCUACAAUGGCCGGUACAAAGGGCUGCAAUACCGUAAGGUGGAGCGAAUCC